CCAUCCCUCCCGCGGCGCUCGGAGCCGAGUCCUGAGCCGCCGCUGCCCUGGCUCGCCGGCCGGGUCGCCUGGGGUGUCGCCGCCCGGGACGGCCUCGCCAGGAGGCUCUGGACUGGGAAGAGCGGGCUCCGCGCUCCGGCUGCGACUGGGGGCUCUGGGACGCGCCCCGCGCUGCGGCUCCCCCGCGCGCCGGGACACUCUGCGCCUCCGCCCCUUCCCUUCCCUUCCCUGACUCGCAGGCCUCCACUUUCCUCCUUUCCUUUCUCCUCCCCUUCCCUCCGCUCCCAGGCCCCCGCCCGCUGCCACUAGGUCAGUUUACUGCGGGGCGGGGCGGGGCAAGCUCCCUGCCGGCCAGCUCCGCCCCACGCAGGACCCGCCGCGACGCCGCGGCCCUAGGGCGCCCAGGUGCAAGUCCCUUCCGGUGGACCCCGGGACUUCGAAAUCGCUGUAUAGGGGCUCCUCGGCUUUCUUUGCAAGCUGUCGCUGCGGGCAGGGGGCGGGACACGCUCCAGUAGGCAAACCGAAAUUACUUCGGGCAAAGGCGGUUGCCAGACUUCGGGAGAGAGAGCAGGUACUGUGGGACCUGGUGGUGGCCAUCGCUUUCUCCCGAAGCUGCCCAGCCAGCCGGCGCUCGAGGUGGCGUCCGCGCGGGUCACCGCAAGACCGCACUCUUAAUAGGGCAGGGAGGACGCCUGGGGAGUGGAGGCGCGCGCAAACUCCACUUUUUACUCUUAAACGUUUUGCCCUCUGCAGGGAUUCAAGGCUGGCCAGGACGCCGCUGUUCUUCGUUUUUCUCAACCUCAAUAUGCUGGCGGCUUCUGUGAACCCAAACUGAUAACGCUCAAAAGCAGACGCUCAGCCUUUCACCGACUCCUUUACCUCUGAGCUACACCUGAAAUUGCCACUAAGGGGUGGGGAGGUGUUCCCCAGAUGGGUCGUGGAAAUGACCGGGUGGGCUCAGGCGGAGCCACGACGAAUGGUCUCUGUAAGCCAUAGGAGGACAGGCAUCUUUCAUAAAGAAAGACAAAAUAACAGUAAAGUACGUAAUACUUACGAAUUGCUGGUGGUGCAGUGAUUAAGAACUCGGCUGCUAACCAAAAGGUCGGCAGUUCUACUCCACCCUCUGCUCCUUGGAAACCCUAUGGGGCAGUACUACUCUGUCCUAUCGCUAUGAGUCAUAACAGCAAUGAGUUUUUGUUGUUUGGUUGGCUGGUUUAUCUAAUGAGCAGAGCACACAGUGAACCAGGCGCUGUUCUAAACGCUUUGCCUAUAUUGAUUUAAUCCUCUUGACAACCCUAUUGUUUGUUACCCAGAACAAGAAACUGAGGCACAGAGGGGUUAACAGAGCUGGGACGCCUUGUCCAAAAUGGCUUACUGAAAACAGAAGCAGGAAAAGUAUUGAGCAAAGAGGUCUGACCUUUGCAUGUCAGGAACCAGUUGGAAGGAUAGCUUUGGGGGAGGGGGGAACAGUCCUAACUGUCCAGCUUAAGGAGUUUGGAUCUUAACCUUUAUUUAUGCCGUCCACCCCAGCCCCCAAACUCUACCAGUGUGAUGUCCCAGUGCCAGACUAAGUAAACAUCCCUGUAGUGUAGUCUGAUGGGGCGGGGGGCGGGUAAAGCUGAAGCAGUCCACAGCAAGCUCCAAAUUUCGCUGAAGGCCGGCAUUUCAUGUGUAAACUGCGUGCAAAUAUCGUUCUACUCCAUAAUAUCCCCAUGUUUGUUCUGAUGUAGAAGCCAUGCUUAUCCCCAUUUCCCCUGAAACUGGUACUGCUUAUCUUGGGACCACGUGAUCUACCCUUCAGGGCAGUCACCUUGGGGUACUCUUAUCCCAGCUUUAAAAGUAGUUAUUACAAUGGAGCCCUGCUGGUGUAGUGGUUAAGAGCUUGGCUGUUAACCAGAAGGUUGGCAGUUUGAAUCCACUGGCCACUCCUUGGAAACCCUAUGGGGUAGUUCUACUCUGUCCUAUAGGGUCCCUAUGAGUUGGAAUCGACUCAGUGGCAACAGGUUUAGUGAAAGAGUUUGAGCUAGGAAGUGGUAUGUGCCAAAUGAUGAUUAAAAAGAUUUGUCUGGCAGGGAUGUAAAGGAUGGAUUAGAUGGAAGCAGGGUUGAGUUUGGAAACUGGGGAAAUAUUGCAUUAAGUACAGUAGUAACUCGUUUUAUCAAGCAUCCUUUCUAAGUUCAAGCGCUGUGGUGUCUGACGGUCUGCGUACCACCUUCCCAUCUCUGUCCCACCUUGUCUCAUACACAACAUAGACCACCAUUUACCUGGACUGAAACUGGACGGUGCUGUGAUUAAACCUGCCCCUCUUCCGACUCUCACCGGGCCCCCUCCUGUCCCACCUGGUGGUUCCUCACCCUCCCCUUCUGCUGCCCAGACUUGCCUUAAGCUACUGAAUCCCCAGUGAUGACAACAUUCUUCCGUGUUCCAUUAUCAUAAAACUAGGUUGGAGAUGCCUUCUCUAAUUCCUCCAAACAUCUGCUUUCUGGUUGGUAUACCUGGUGUGUUUCCUGUCCCAGAACCCUUCAUUCCUCUUAUUAAGCUGGAGGAUGGAGACACCCUUCAAAUGCUUUGACUUCCUUCUAAUCAGCAGUUAGCAUGCACCGAUGGCGUGCACUCAGGCAGGGAGACAGGGCGGUACUUCCCCAUAGUCACUGGGACAGCUUCCUUUGUGGCUGCCACGGGAAUCUCCCGUUUCUGAUCACUGCUGAGCUUCUGAAACUAAGGAGGCUGCUGUUGGAGGGGGAUUGACUGUUGGGGUUUGAGCGUGGAUAGCCAGAGGAAUUUUCUGUUUCACAUUGUUUUAAACUCAGGUUAGUUAAAAAUUUUCUAUCCACGAUUUGGAUUUACUACGAUUUGCUAACUCACUCCCACAGUGAGUUGUCAUAUUGUGCAGUUCAACUUAUAAUCUUCAAAAAUAUUCAAUUCGUAGCUGCAAUUUAAUAUGCAGCAAAAAAAAAAAAUACAGUAGUUCAAGGGAGAAAAAAUAACCAUGCAGUAUCUACCUUGCAAUUUAAUAUACAAGCGAAAAACAAAAAACAAGAGUUCAAGGGAAACCAGACAAACGCUUAGAGUAUUUGCCUUUGUCUAGGUACUACACUAAUUUACUCAGCUUUUAAUAGCUAUGCUUAGGAAUUUGUCACAGUGCAAGGAGUGGCUGGUCCUGGUGGCAGAAUAUUACAAAGUCAUUUUGUAGUAAUUGAUAGGCCUAUGAAAUAUAUCACUUUUUCCUUAAUGUCGAGAUUAACCUUGUAUUUUUUUAUCUUAUUUUUUGCUAUUGUUGUUGAGAAUAUACACAGCAGACCCUGUACCCAUUGAACAACUUCUUCAUGUACAAUUCAGUGACAUUGAUUACAUUCUUCUAGUUGUACAACCACUCUCACCCUUCUUUUCCUGGUUGUUCCUCCCCAACGUAAACUCACUGCGGGCUAAGUUUCCUAUCUAACCUUCCAAGUUGCUGUUGUCGGUUUGAUCCCAUAUAGAUAGUCCUUUAAAACUAACUUUUUGUUUUUAAAAAUACCAAAUUAAAUUCCCUUUUUUAUAGGAAAAUAUUCUGCCAUAGGCUUUUCGCCCUCUGUGUUCCAUGGUCCUAGGUAGGAAAAAACUAAACCCCCUGCCAGCUUUCAGAGUUUACAGCUACUACAGGACUGCUGGAAGAAGACCAGAAGGCAAGGUCCAGAUAAUGGAUCAACACAGGAGACAGGCAGAUGAGGACCCAGGCGAGCACGGUGGAAUCUUUGUUGGUGAAAAUAGCAUGUUAUGUUAACUGGCAUAUAGUACCCAUUGCCAUCGAGUCAAUUCCAACUUACAGCAGUCGUAUAGGACAGCGUAGAACUGCCCAUACAGUUUCCAAGGAGUGGCUGGUGGAUUUGAACUGCUGACUUUUUGAUUAGCAGCCAAGCUCUUAACCACUGUGCCACUGGGGUUCCCUUUGUAAUUCUUGUUUGUUUUUAGGUUAAGUAUGCACACUGUGGUUAUUCUAAGCAAGAAGUGGGUGGAAUUUUACAUAGAGAGAUGGAAUACAAAAUUGAUCUUUACAGACAUUUUCAACCUAAAGGGAAGGUGUUUCUGCUUGUGGUUAUUGUUUUUUAAUGGACGAAAUCUAACUAACUUAUAGAACUAUCUUCUCUCUCUGAAGCUGGUGAGAAAAACACACACAAGCAUUUUAAACUUAUUUAGAAAGUAGCUUAGUAAAUAAGUUGUGUGUUUGCAAUCUCUCUGUCCAUAUAAUUGUCAACUCUGAAAAUACUCGUUAUUAUAUCUUUCUGAGAACAAUUUUUCAAAAGUUCAUUUUGAAAACAUUUGCACGAUUAUAUAGUCCAGAGGGAACAUACAUUUUCAAGCUUUUCUGAGCUAUUUUAAAACAAUAUCCAUUAAUAAAAUUACAAAAAAGGUUGUUUUUUUUUUUUUUGAUUAAUUUUCACAUGUUGGUUUUCUUUUUUAGGAAACUUUUCUUUAAAAUUGUCUGCAGGGUUCAGCCCGAGAAGAAACUGCUGCAAUUUUUAUCUAAAUGCCCCUUUUCAACUGUAAUAAAGUGAUCACAAUUGGUUUGUUACCUUAGGGGUUAUGUCACAGCCCCUAAAGGACAUAGAUUCUUCUCCAGUUAUUUCAUUAAAAAGCACAGUAAAUGAAUAAAAACAAACAAAAAACACCCAAAAACAUUGCCAUUAAGUCUAUCCUGACUCAUAGGGUUUCCGAGGCUGUGAUGUCAUGGAAGCAGACUGCCGCCAUCUUUCUCCUGCAGAGACGCUGAGACUUCUUGAAUACUGCCAGCAACACGGUGAGCAGGAGAUGGGGAAAUACACACAGGACAGGUAUGGUCCACACAGAUGGAAUCAAGAGGGCGCUGAACCCCACAGCCACAAGCAAGGACAGAGAUAUCUGAGGACCAGAAGGAAGAAGCCAACAACUUGGGAAUGUUCUUGAAAGCUGAGCCAGCAUUCUCCCUCCCCAACCUCAUUACCUGUUUCUUAUAUCACUUUCACGUCCACUCCACUCCCUUCCUUAGCCGCCUCCCUUCUUGCUUCUUUUCUCUAUCUUGUCUUAGAUCUAACAGUGACCCUUAAGAUAGGGCCUAGCUAAGGGCUCAGCAAUAUUUCCAACUUGGGCCAAGCUUCUGGGGGGAUGCUUUGGGGUAGGUGGGGGCUGAAGACUGAGCCCCUGCCAGAGGACCAAGGUUUGCCAAGAGUUACCAUCAGCCGCCAUCCCAACUUUGGCCUGGAUGCAGGGGCUGCUGCCAGCUUGGUAGACUAUGGCUUCUCAUAUUCAAUUUCUAGAGGAGGAGAACUAGAAAUCUGAACCCAGAAUCAGGAUUGGGUUCCAGUCCUCAAUACCAUCAACUAGCUGAGCCUGCCCCUCCUGGACCUGUUCCUUCAUUUGCAAAGCAAAGGGGCUGGUCCCUGCCAGAGUAUGCUCUGUAAUUACUACUUGUGAAGUCAAACAUGUUUGGCACUUGGCUGUGGGCUCUGGUUUACAUAAACUGUUCUACCAACUAAAAAUUGCCCUUCUUCCAAAAAGCCCUUUAACAGAUGAUGUAGUGUCUGUUUGAACAUGUUCUCUAAGUGGGAGGACUGUGAGGUCCUAUCCUGAGGAUGGACUCUGAGAAUGAUGACUUCUCUAUAAAAUGAUGUCCCAAGGAGCCUCCAUUAGCUCCCCAGAUAAUCUACUCUCUUUAAUCGUCAGUCUCAGCAAAUUCUGCAUUCCAUAUAAACCAAGCUCAUUCUUUGAUAGUUUCUUCUCCCAGCUUCAGGGGAGAUGGGUAGCAGCAGGUCACUGUCCCCUCCAGCAUUUCAGAGACCAUAAAAUAAAGCAUGAUACCUGUAGUGCCCACCAGAGAGGUUCUUAGGUUCAGCUCAACGUUCAGACUCACAAGACUUCCAGGGACCAUACUUGGCUUUAAAAAACCCAUUGCCUUCAAAUUGAUUCCAACUCAUAGCUUUAGUCAACUCAAAAAAAAAAAAAAAAAUGUGAGGCUCCUCCUCA
Molecule: long non-coding RNA, 5979 nt
Organism: Loxodonta africana (African savanna elephant)
Lineage: Eukaryota; Metazoa; Chordata; Mammalia; Proboscidea; Elephantidae
Exons: 2
Source: RefSeq, a predicted model, not a curated record